AGCAGGAAAGGUACAGGUGUAUUCACAACCAUUAAUGAUGGCCGCAUUUCACUUAGGAGAGGCCCUGUUAUGAAACAAUUAAUGAUGACUGCAG
Molecule: long non-coding RNA, 94 nt
Organism: Etheostoma cragini (Arkansas darter)
Lineage: Eukaryota; Metazoa; Chordata; Actinopteri; Perciformes; Percidae
Exons: 3
Source: RefSeq, a predicted model, not a curated record